UGGGCUAUAGCCAAGCGGUAAGGCAACGGACUUUGACUCCGUCAUGCGCGGGUUCGAAUCCAGCUAGCCCAGCCA
This 75-nucleotide transfer RNA is filed under the name Bacillus cereus. RNAcentral's name for it is "tRNA-Gln". It matches the Rfam family "tRNA". From Rfam's summary of the family: Transfer RNA (tRNA) molecules are approximately 80 nucleotides in length. Their secondary structure includes four short double-helical elements and three loops (D, anti-codon, and T loops). RNAcentral also lists the same sequence under 2 other names. Lineage: Bacteria; Bacillati; Bacillota; Bacilli; Caryophanales; Bacillaceae. The record is from RNAcentral.